UAAAAUUCUCUCUGCUCUUAAAACACUCUCAACCUAACCAUAAUAUUCAACCGUCGAUCUCUCAUCUCCAGCCAUCUCUGGUGACCUCCUAUCGUCUCUUAAGCCUCCAAUGGCUUCUCACAUGCCAUGAAUGCCUUCUCUAAGGCCUUCAAGGGCCCAGAGCCAUGCUGACUUGCACCCAGGGUUCAUCUAUUGCAUGUUCUCGGCUAUUCCAGUCUGAUUUCAAGCAAAAUCAUUCAAUAUUUUCUAUGAUCCUUGGGUUUCUGGACAGGUUUCUUCAUCUCUAUAUGGGUUCUUUUGAAACCCUAAUUUACUUUCUAUACCUCCUAGAUAUGUACAGAUCUAGGAUGAUUUAAGUUUUUUUUUGAAUGUUUU
RNAcentral lists this long non-coding RNA (375 nucleotides) under Nicotiana benthamiana. Its description in RNAcentral is "long non-coding RNA (NBEN_LNC024359)". Lineage: Eukaryota; Viridiplantae; Streptophyta; Magnoliopsida; Solanales; Solanaceae. The record is from RNAcentral.